GACGUAGGGCGCGAGCGUUGUCCGGAUUUAUUGGGCGUAAAGAGCUCGUAGGCGGCUUGUCGCGUCGUCCGUGAAAACCUGCAGCUCAACUGCGGGCUUGCGGUCGAUACGGGCAGGCUAGAGUUCGGUAGGGGAGACUGGAAUUCCUGGUGUAGCGGUGAAAUGCGCAGAUAUCAGGAGGAACACCGGUGGCGAAGGCGGGUCUCUGGGGCCGAUACUGACGCUGAGGAGCGAAAGCGUGGGGAGCGAACAGG
This 254-nucleotide ribosomal RNA is filed under the name uncultured bacterium. RNAcentral's name for it is "partial 16S ribosomal RNA". It matches the Rfam family "Bacterial small subunit ribosomal RNA", at positions 524 to 776 of the family's 1533-position model. The record is from RNAcentral.